Molecule: ribosomal RNA, 253 nt
Filed under: uncultured bacterium
Lineage: Bacteria
Description: partial 16S ribosomal RNA
Rfam family: Bacterial small subunit ribosomal RNA
Source: RNAcentral
GACGUAGGGUGCGAGCGUUGUCCGGAUUUAUUGGGCGUAAAGAGCUCGUAGGCGGCUCGUCGCGUCAGCUGUGAAAACCCGCGGCUUAACUGUGGGCUUGCAGCUGAUACGGGCGGGCUAGAGUUCGGUAGGGGAGACUGGAAUUCCUGGUGUAGCGGUGAAAUGCGCAGAUAUCAGGAGGAACACCGGUGGCGAAGGCGGGUCUCUGGGCCGACACUGACACUGAGAGACGAAAGCUAGGGGAGCGAAUGGG